RNAcentral lists this transfer RNA (754 nucleotides) under uncultured cyanobacterium. RNAcentral's name for it is "partial miscellaneous RNA". The stretch from base 252 to 324 matches the Rfam family "tRNA". Lineage: Bacteria; Bacillati; Cyanobacteriota. The record is from RNAcentral.
CAGGGAGACACAACUGAUUUUGAUGUCUGAAUUAUUUAUUUUUAGACCAGAAUCCUGUCACCUUAGGUCGAUCGGUACCUCAAUUUAAUUAUUUAAGAAAUUAUUUUCUGAAUUGAUUAGAUUCAGUUCCUAAACUUUGUCUAGGUCACACCCAGCAAUGGUACUCCUGGGCCAUUAGCUCAGGUGGUUAGAGCGCACCCCUGAUAAGGGUGAGGUCCCUGGUUCAAGUCCAGGAUGGCCCAUUCGGUGUUGGGGGUAUAGCUCAGUUGGUAGAGCGCCUGCUUUGCAAGCAGGAUGUCAGCGGUUCGAGUCCGCUUACCUCCACUGAUCAACCUCCUAAUAACCAAGCUUAAGGAGUUUCGUUGAUGUGAUCUAGAAUUACUUCUCAAUUAAUGAACCUAGCUUCUUGUCAUUCCCUUCUAAGGAAUUUUAUUCCUGGAUUGAUAGGACGCUGGGCUCCCUGCAAUAUAAAUUGCAGAGAAGUUCAGUAGAACCUUGACAACUGCAUAGGUAAGUCUGGAAAAAAUAAAGCAUCUCAUGGAUGCAUUAUUUUUAAAGCUAAACCUAGAAUUCUGAUUUAAUUAGAAUUUCUAAGUUGGUUUUAAAUAUAUAAUGUUUAAUUCUUGAGCAAGAGCCGAGACUCUGCACGUUCUUUUGAUGUAUUUACUACAUUAAGAGUUUGAUUUUUAAUUCUAUUUUGAUUAAUAAAAUUAAGAAAAAAGCAUUAACAAUGCAGACGAUGCAGAGGUUUAAU